RNAcentral lists this long non-coding RNA (488 nucleotides) under Olea europaea (common olive). Its description in RNAcentral is "long non-coding RNA (OEUR_LNC009298)". Lineage: Eukaryota; Viridiplantae; Streptophyta; Magnoliopsida; Lamiales; Oleaceae. The record is from RNAcentral.
GACAAUAUAAAUACCUGAGAAGAGACCUAAUUCUGGGGAUUGGAGCCGGAAAAAUACAGAAGAGUUAUAGAGAGCAGCUGGCCAAAAAAAAGAGGGUAGAAUUGGAGAUUUGAAUUGGCGGCUGCUGAGGGCGAAUAGAGGAGAAUCUGGAGACGAAUUGGGGAAAGAGCCGCCUUAAAUUACAGAACAAAAGGGGACAUUCUGGAGAGGAAGCUGAGAUUUUUAGCUAGCAACUUCAAGAGAAAGAGAAGGGAAUAUAUUCAGCCGGCUGGAAAAAUUUGAAGUGGGCUCAAGUCUCAACAUACUGUUCGAAAAAUCAAUUGAAAGGCAUGGAAAACUCGAGGGAGAACUUGAUUAACACUUAAUUUUUCUUUCUUCAUCAUUUUUUCUAUUAUAAUUUGUAUGAAUUUCAUGAAUUAUAUUAUGUGCUAAACAAAUUAUCUAGGGUUGAUGUAGCUGAACUCGAUAUUAUGGUUUGAUGAAUUUCA